This 3322-nucleotide ribosomal RNA is filed under the name Globorotalia inflata. RNAcentral's name for it is "bacterial SSU rRNA". The stretch from base 957 to 3322 matches the Rfam family "Eukaryotic small subunit ribosomal RNA". Lineage: Eukaryota; Foraminifera; Rotaliida; Globorotaliidae. The record is from RNAcentral.
AACCCGACAGUUUAAAUAAGUGUCUUACGAUACGUUAUUACAACGCACUACCGAUUCCAUUCUCAAUUGUCUCUUAAGAGACAAAAGAACAACAUCACUUAUGCAACUGCAGACAGCUGCUUAAUACAGUCACACUUGUCUUGACUUGGCGCUAUUACCACACGAUUUCAAGCUUGUUUAUACACUGAGCCUUAUGGCUCUAUUUAAACAAUGCUCUGACUAACCCUAUCCUUAUGGAUAACUCAGGGAAAGUUUGGCUAAUACAUACGAGAUUAUACAAUACACACACACUUUGUUUGGGAUGUAUUUCCCAUUCAUUUUGUACUAAUCUACACUUCUCUGCACUCAAUGGUUGAGCUAUGGUGUCAAUUCUUGACAUCAGUCACUAGUUCAAACGCAACAUGAGAGACAUUGAGCACGCUUCGUACUAGCUUCUUAUUCUUAAUAAGGGCUUUUACAUUAAACGCUGAGCAGACUUUACGAAGAUUUCUUUGUGAAGCAUGUCAUACAAGCAUCUACAGCAUCAAGUCACAGGGUUGGCAAGUGUAUUUUUGAACCUUCAAAGCAGUCACGCAUACGGAAGAGUAGUUUCUGAUCCCAUAGAAGGAGCACCGUACAAUGAGAGACCGCUCUUAGUUCUAAGGAACGCAGCAGGCGCGUAAAUUGCCCAAUGACAGUACCCUACGAUCUCUUAACUCGUUAAGAAUUCGAUACAUAUUGAAUCAUUGCAAUUGAAUACGCAACACACACACACGAGAAUGGUAUCUGUGUUAUUGUUAACGUAUUUAGACAUCUAAACCUGUCUUUAUACUAAUAUCCUUGUCUUACCUGUUCUCUUUAUAAUUACUAACGUAUUCAGUUCAUCUUAUCUAAGAUAUCUAAUACGUUGAGGCAGUGACAAGCUGUAACGGUUGAGUAUUUUAAAUGACGAGUGUCUGGCAUUGCCGCUCUUUCGGGAGCUUGGCAAGUUGCCGACGCUUUGUGUGCUCAAUUGGAAUGCGGUGAGUUUAAGCAACUCAGAACCUUUUAAUGGUGUUUAUUAAUACAUUCACUAUUGACGUAUCUGAAUUUCGAGUGGAGGGCAAGUCUGGUGCCAGCAGCCGCGGUAAUACCAGCUCCACUGGCCUAUACAAUCAUUGUUGCGGUUAAGAGGCUCGUAGUUGGAUUGAACUACUAUAUAUUCUAUAUACGUAGUGUUACAUUCUCUUUAUUAACGUAAAGAAAUGUUCGACAUUAGAACUCUUUUAACAAUAUAAAGCUAACAGCAUUGUUAAAUACAACACGCUCUAUCUCUAUUGACGGUAUUACUACGUAUUCUUUGGAAUACCAUUCAACACUGUGAACAAAUCAGAGUGUAUCAAACAUGUUGUCUAACUUGUGCAUUGUAUGUCUUAUCAUGGGAUGUUGCACUCGUUAUAACAUUAGACACAUACAAUACUUUUUAACGUCUAAUGUUAGCUUUCUAAUCUUUAUUAGAAAAAUGUCGAUGGGGAUAGUUGGAGCCAACAGUACUGCUGGGCGAGCGGUGAAAUGCAUUGACCCUAGCAAGACUACCAAAAGCGAAAGCAGUUGGCUAGGCUAUACUCUUUGUGAUCUAUUCACUUCUUUUACGCUUUAACUUUUAACUCUUAAAUACACAUACUCUAUUAAAUAUUUUAACGCUUAAGUUUUUUAACGUUAAAAUAAUUUAUUCUAAAGAGAAAAGUUAAGGCGUAAAAAGAAUCUAUAGAAUAUCACUUUACAAUGAAGAACGAAGGUUGGGGGAUCAAAGAGGAUCAGAUACCCUCGUCGUCCCAUUUGUUACAUCAAACGAUGGACUCUCAAUUGCAAUUUCUGUUAUUCAGAUUGCUAAAUGCACCUCAACCUGCAAAUUAUUACUUGGCUCGAGCUCGUAUCUUUAUCUCGUAUAAAGUACGCUCGCCUAACUUUAAAUUUCGUACGGUCUCGAUGGACAUUUUGAUUUGAUAUCUUUUAUUCUGCGUGUAGGCUAUACAUGUUUAAUUGGCUUCUCUAUCUUUUAACCAAGAUUAGAACCGUUUACAUGGCGUGCACUUGAUUUUCUGAGCUUUGCGCUCAAUUCUGGUGAGAUGUAAGCACUCUGUUUAGCCUCCCGCGCUGUGUGUCUUCCUAAUACGAGGGCACUAACAGUUGUCGUGUGUGUGCUAUUAACAAUUUUUGUGUGAAGCACGCGUUAGGCACGCGCUUACUGCAGAAAUGUCUGAGACAUUCUCCUCCGGGGGUAGUAUGCACGCAAGUGUGAAACUUGAAGGAAUUGACGGAAGGGCACCACAAGAACGCGUGGAGCAUGUGGCUUAAUUUGACUCAACGCGGGAAAUCUUACCGGGUCCGGACACACUGAGGAUUGACAGGCAAUAUAUUAGCAUAAAGACUCGUCUUUAGCGCUAAUUGUUAAAUAUGCUAGUCCUUUCAUGAUUAUGUGAUAGGUGGUGCAUGGCCGUUCUUAGUUCGUGGAGUGAUCUGUCUGCUUAAUUGCGUUUCACUAAGGGCCCAUAAAUUCAAGGUAUGUUAGCAAAUGCUGCUCUAUUGACCCCUAAUAGGCUUAACUGUCUUUAGCGCGUGUCUCUACGAGUUCUUUAAAGCACUGCGCAUGCUGUUGGGUCCUGAAAGCAACGAACGUGACCGCAACGUCUUGUUGCCUCUCUAUAAUAUCUUCUUAUUAUUUUUAAUAAGAGUAUUUACCUGAGGCUAUUUUAAAACUAGACGGACCGCUGUUUCUUUCUUAAACCAGAGGAAGGUUGCGGCAAUAACAGGUCUGUGAUGCCCUUAGAUGUUCCGGGCUGCACACGUGCUACAAUGAUCAGUACAGUGAGCAUCUCAAUUUUAUAACACCGUAUUAAGCGCUUGGGUCGUAAUUGUUAGGCCUUUUAGGUUUUUUCAAUUGCGUUUCUCCAAUGCGCACGGUAAAGCCUGCUUCGAGAGUAAGUGGGUAAUCCAUUGGAAGUAAUGAUUUCCUUAUUUUUAUAAACAGCACACCAAUAUACGGCAUUCAUUCCCGAGACGGCUUAGUUCCGACUUUGUGCGAAUGUAAUGUAUUUUUAUCCGUAUGUGCGAUUGUCAAUUCAUGGUGGGGACAGACCAUUGUUAAUUGUUGGUCUCGGUCUUAACUAGGAAUGCCUUGUACGGGUCUUUGGUUCAACAAACCACCCGGAAUACGUCCCUGCCCUUUGUACACACCGCCCGUCGCUCUUACCGAUGGACUUCUUUGUGAGUCUUGGGGACUGGGUUAAGCGAUUUCUUUUUGAAUGAGCUCUACCUAUGGAAACCAAUACGAACAAUGUGGUCUAAAGGAAAGAGAAGUCGU